CAAGACUCCCUUCUCCCUCUCGCUUGCUCGCUCGCUCAAAGCUAGUUCUUAGCAAUACUUUGUUGUCACGACUGCAGAAUCAAGCAAGAUCAUUCAAUUGAAAUCAUUCUCUUCAUCGCUAUCAGAUUUGUUUGAACAGAGAGCUAAGGACACUUUCUAUCUAGUGAAUGGGAGGCUACUAGAAUUGAAGCAUUGCACUGGAUUUCCAACCUCUUCUGAACAGACAUCGUAUUGAGGUGUUGACUUAUCUAAAGGACAUAUUUAACACCCUUUUGGAGGCACUUUCAGAUCCUUCUGAUAAGGUGGUUCUCCUGAUUCUAGAGGUUUAUGCAUGCAUAGCGAAAGAUCCACAACACUUCCGCCAGCUUGUUAUCUUUCUUGUUCAUAAUUUCUGUGUAGAUAAUUCUCUUCUGGAGAAGCUUGGUGCUUUCAUAAUUCUCCGACUGUGUGUGCUUUUAGAUGCUGAAAGGGUCUACUCAGAACUGUCUACUAUACUAGAAGGAGAGUCGGACCUGGAUUUUGCAUCUAUUAUAGUUCAGGUAGGUUGUUAUUUAUUGGACAGCAAAAAGCAAUAUGCAUCAGUGACCUAUUUCACUAUUUUUUUCGGGCAUGUAUUUUCUUUUUAUGUAGAUGAAGUUUUUUCAUCCUAUCGCCUACAA
Long non-coding RNA from Rosa rugosa (rugosa rose), 659 nucleotides. RefSeq lists it as uncharacterized. The transcript has 5 exons. NCBI's taxonomy places the organism in Eukaryota, Viridiplantae, Streptophyta, Magnoliopsida, Rosales, Rosaceae. The record is from RefSeq and is a predicted model, not a curated record.